CUGAGAAUGCUCUUCGGAGCCCUCAAACCACUGCGUACCAAAUCCUGUGCUUGCGGGUGGCAGCGUCUUCGGACGAGGCGCCCGCGAGAUCAAACACGUUUGACUGUCGUCUGGUUACAUUUUAAAAGAAAA
This 132-nucleotide unclassified non-coding RNA is filed under the name uncultured fungus. RNAcentral's name for it is "sequence contains ITS1, 5.8S rRNA gene". The record is from RNAcentral. Lineage: Eukaryota; Fungi.